UUUCACGCUAGAUUCUGCAAAUCACCCAACUAAUCUUGAUUUUGAUUCUCGAUCCUGCAAUAUCUAGCUCCAAAUAACACGCCACAUGUUCAAUCCAGUUUGAGGUCAUCUCAAUUCUAGCUAUCAAUCUCACCAUCGGUUCAAUUGACCUAAAUUUGAUUCCUCCAGAAUUGACAGCGAUUUCUUGCAAUUACAGCACUUGUGCAAUCGAUUUUUGUGCUCUCUGCAAUUCAUUCACAAAAUCGUUUGAAUAUGGGUGAAUCAAUUCAACUUUGACAUGGAUGUUUUUCUAGAAGUCGUAUAUUGCAGUCCAUACUAUCUGAACUGAUUCGGCUUUGAUUCGGCUUUAGAGAUUAGUACUUUUGCAGAAGAUUGCUUAGUUAUGCAGUAUAUAUCGCAUUACAUAGAACAGGUUUGGGAAGUAGUUCUACAAACGAUGCCCUGUUUGGGAGGUGUGAGUUUGGGGGAAUCCUGGAGGUAUUGCUUGAGGAGCGGUAGCUUGUGGGGGCGGCAGGAGCGGAGCUGGAGGUAAUCGGCGGUGGAGGAAUUGAGGCGCUGGAGGGCUAGGGUUCUGGUUAGGGUACGGACGCCGAGGGGAAAGUGAGAGACGUCGAGGUCUCUCAUGGUUUUCCUGCAGUUUUUACCAUCACACCUUUUCUUCUCAAUUUGGAGGGUUUUUCUCGAUUUUCCUGCUCGAUUUUUGUCUUCGCGGCUUCUCGCCGUUGAAGCUUUUCUUCUCAAUUUUUGAAUUUUCAUAUUUUCAUCUCAAUUCAGAUUUUUGAUUGUAGGAAUAUAAACAUCCCAAUACACAUAAGGGAUAUUUGAAUUUGCACAUGA
This is a non-coding RNA of Salvia hispanica, 837 nucleotides long. The record is from RefSeq and is a predicted model, not a curated record. NCBI's taxonomy places the organism in Eukaryota, Viridiplantae, Streptophyta, Magnoliopsida, Lamiales, Lamiaceae.